RNAcentral lists this unclassified non-coding RNA (263 nucleotides) under Athalia rosae (coleseed sawfly). RNAcentral's name for it is "misc RNA ENSAEAG00005008755.1". Lineage: Eukaryota; Metazoa; Arthropoda; Insecta; Hymenoptera; Athaliidae. The record is from RNAcentral.
CGGACCGAAACUGAAGCAAACCAAAAAAUUGGGCGGGAACCGUGCGAACAUGUUCGAUCCGUACGUCGUAGCGAAGCCGAUGUCGUAAAUUAUAAACUGCACCGGGUGGACAAGAGAAAAAAACAAAAACAAAAACAAAAACAAAACAAGGAGAGAAACAAAAAGAAAAGAAGAUACAAAAUUAAAGAGUCGGGCACGUGUUCCAUCGGUUAUCGUUUUCUGAUCGUGAACGUUAAAGCCCGUUUCAUUGGUCCGGUUAUACU